CGGUGAGAUAGAUGAGGAGAAGUAUGACUCGGACAUGAACUAUUUCAGUGAGCAUGUAGCUCUAGCGAGGGAGAGUAUGAGCUUGGGUGAAGCUCACAAAAACAACAGCAUGUUGCAGAAGUGGUGCAAGUAACAAGAUAAGUUACUCCUUAUGUGCCUAAAGACUAUCAAGUUUCUGAAAGACAAGCUAAUCUACUCCACUUCCACUACUGCUAUUCCG
Arabidopsis thaliana x Arabidopsis arenosa is the source of this 220-nucleotide non-coding RNA. Lineage: Eukaryota; Viridiplantae; Streptophyta; Magnoliopsida; Brassicales; Brassicaceae. The record is from the annotation of a GenBank genome assembly.